This is a long non-coding RNA of Octopus sinensis (East Asian common octopus), 8152 nucleotides long. RefSeq lists it as uncharacterized. The record is from RefSeq and is a predicted model, not a curated record. NCBI's taxonomy places the organism in Eukaryota, Metazoa, Mollusca, Cephalopoda, Octopoda, Octopodidae. The transcript has 4 exons.
AAUUACACACCAUGGGCCACUCCUCCGGUAUUUCGACCUAGGGCUAAACAACGACCAGGUUAUGUCACAGGCCACCUGAACACAAUUAACCAAUGAGAAACGACUUAACCGGUGUAUCCGGUGUCUCUCAAUCAACUCUCUUCAUUUCAUUUCCUACCAGGACCCAGGAAGCUGUGCUAUUGACCAGCUUCCUAUGGCUAUGUUAUCCUUGUAUACAUAGUAAUCAGUCAGAUGUUAGGGUCAUAUAAAGAUCUAACGCCAAAAGUUAUGCCAUUGUCUCCUCUGGGGAUUCGUCAUAAAAUGAAAUUCUAACGACAUUGAGUUUCAUUUUGACCUUUUCACAAUCCCACUCCAUUGACAUAUUAUGUAAAUUUUUCAAGAGAAAAGGAAGUGGACACAGGAAGGUUUGAUUGUGGAGCACUUGGCAAUGCUGGUGAAUAUCAGAAAUAGGACGGAAUGUUAUUCAUAUCUUAACCGAAAAGAAACGAAAAUAUUAUCGUCAGCAAGUGUUAAAAAAAGAAUUGCUGCUGGGGAUGUGAAUGAGUCCAAUUCACAAUUAUAUCAAUAUUCUCUUGAAGAACAUAAGUAACAUUAAUCAUGACAUCCAAUCACAAUUUACCUCCAAUUCAACUGACGUUUGCUGAAAGGAAUUUGAGAAUAUCUAAUGACAUUGGCAGAAACAAUAUUUGCUCUGGGUGAGAUUAUUUGCAAAACAUCUCUCUUUGCAUUCUCGUUAAACUUGGACAGCUUUCGAAAGGAAUUUGCCACAUUUUCAGGCUUCGGAAUAGAUCACAGUUGGUUAAGAUACAGGUGUAAAAACAUCAUACCUGUAUGAUUCUGUUGAAAGUCAUCCUUUUAAAAAGGUAACUUAACUACUCUCAAAUGUAUUCAUACAGGAGAAAAACCAUAUCACUGUGGUCAGUCGUUCUCUGCAAGAUAUAGGCUAACUAGCUUUAGAUAUUCAUAGACAGUGAGCAUAUAUCAUUAUUUUGUUAUACAGUAUGGAUAAUAAUAAGAAGAAGAAGAAUGAGAUCAUGGUUUUUCAGUCCACUAAAUGCUUUGUCUUUGGAUCCCCUAUUUCCUGUGGUUAAGUGGUUUUCACAUUUUCAUCAACAUUUGUGAAGUCUGCCACUGUAGAAAUAGUAGGAAUGAUAUCCUGUAUCCCAAGGAAAUGUUGCCCUCCUCAUUGUCAUCAACUGGUCUUGUCCUCCUUUGUGCUCUGAUUCUGGUUUCUCGAAACCUGCAUGAUAGACACAGUUCUCUAUGGAAUUUGCUGUUUUUGAUAUUUACAAUGCCUCAAGGACAUUCAGUUUGUCCUCUUCACUGAUGUUUUCAGCAUCUGGAAACAUCAUUGUGGCGUACAUCUCAAAACUAAACUAGCUUUCAAACAACAACAAACUUUCUGUAGUUCUUUUUAAGUCUUAAUAAUUCCCUGAUUGCAUGAUUGGUACAUGCUUAUUGUACUGAGAAGCAGUGUUUUAACCGUGAUCGGGUUAAGGUGAUCAAUGUCUUUGGAGUAUGUAAUUAUUGACGAUGGGCAUCACAUUUUGUACUUCAUGCUGAAACAAUUGAUCCAAUUCCUUAACCAUAAUCAAUUAGAUUGUGGACACCAAUCAUGCCUCCUGUUGUGUUUGUAGGCCAGAGGCAACCUUUGGGCUUUCUUGAAGUACCACAGGCUCUUAGAUAUUCCUUAGGCCAGCUGUGGUAACUUAGCAUUGCUGUCUAUGUUUUCAGCAAAGAGAUGUAUCAGCUGGUCUUUGGUGAUCUUCCUAUCAGUUCAAAUUCUCCCUUUUUAGUACCAGUGUCAAUGAGUCUCAUCUGCUUGCUAAAGUGAGACAGUUAAUUAAAACUGUUUGAAACUAAAGCAUCUUCUUUGCACUGUUUUCAGCCAUUUUCCUCUCCUUAUCUUGAGAUGGUCAAGCCAGUCCAUAUUCAGCUUGAAAUUUUUUCAUAUCGAAGACUUUUGAUUUCUUCCUUUUCUUAAUAAGCAACCUAUCUAACCCAGAAAGAUUCAUAGAUCAGUGUUGGGUGAACCACAUAUACAGUGUAUCAUCAAGAUGGUGGUGUUACCUGGCAUAAACUUUUUGGAUACGACAUUUUCCAUGAUAAAACCUUGUUUUCAAAAUUGUAGUCAGGUCACUACUGAGUCUGCCGUAUUCCUUACCCACCUCUGUCCUCAAUCUCAUGUUUUUCCUGAUUUGUUCAUUUCUCUUUGUCUUCAAAGACAAGCAUUUGCAUUUUUGACCAAACAUGAUGGAUGAAGUUGAAACAUUUUUUCCUGCUGCCCAUAGGAAGAGGAAAGCAUUAAUGUUGACAGAUCUCAGGCCAUUGUCAAGGGAUAGUUACUUCAUUAUAGGCAAAGUUGGUCAGCAUUUCACUAAAUCAGUACUUGGUUUAGUGGAUCAAAUUAGUUUAUUAAAAUGACUGGAAAGUUCUUUACAACUAAAGUAAGACAAUUUACAAAAGACAGGCAUGACCUUAUGAUAAGUUUUAUUUAAUAGUCAACACAGCAUACUUCAAAGUAUGGUCUACAAUAAAAACAGACAAGAUGGCAAGAGUUAAUGAUGAGCAGUGAAACAUCUUAUGAGGACAAUCUUUAGAUACAAACACAAAUCAUGCUGUUUAUGACAUUCACCCCUCAUAUGAGGAAGAGAAUGGAUCACACAUGAAAAGAAGAAACAUUUCACAACACGUGUUUAAACAGUUUUGUUGUUUGUUCAAGGGUGUUAAGGUUUCUCAACCUUCAGAACAAUGGGACUAUUUAGGGUUUAGGAUUUUCUAUUACACAAGUUGUAAGGUCUGGUUCUGAUAAAGGAAGUGUGGCAAUGGUGUCCUAGUGGAAUGGUUAGGGUUAGUAUUGGAGCCAGGAGAUUCAUUUUGGUUGGUGUUGUAGUCAACAGAAGACUGCACAUCAUGUGCUUCAUCGGGUGGUGCACGUAUGUCUUGGGUGUUGAUCGACAGCUCCCUCCACAAAAGGAGAAUGUUCACACGUGUUACUAAGCCUUGCUUGAGGGGCACUCCUGUCUUUCAGCAGGUGCAGCUAGUCCAGGGGCUGCUGUGAGAUAGGGUCUGGCUUUUGAACGUAAAGGUCUGCUGCGUCCUUGCCUUUGGGUGGAGCCAGCUGACUUAGAGACACUGUAGUUUCUUUCCCAUCCUGCAGUUUAACAUGAGCAUAGAGUGGAUUGGAGUCCAGUAACUCCACUUUAUCCUCUGGCGGUUCAUAUUUGGAAGUUCUCACAUUUCGUCUCAUCAGAACAGGACCCGGUGACAGAAGCCAACUGGGAAGAGCUGUAGAUUUACGGUUAUAUCAGAAAAGUCUUUCACGAGGCAUUUCAUUGGUCACUGUACAGAGAAUUUUGCAGAACCAGUUCCCACUGAGUGAUUGCCGAUUCUUUUGUCUUCAGAGCCAGGGUUACAUUGAGGCGUUCAACCUGACCCUUUCCCCUGGGGUUAUAUGCUGUAGUUCUACUUGUAGCAAUUCCCUUGCUAUGUAAAAACCCUUUCAGUUCUUUAGAUAUGAAACUUGUCCCCCUGUUAAAAUGAAUGUAGGAGGGCAUGCCAGAAAGGGAGAAAAAUUUACAAAACCAUUUUUUGAUAGUUGAAGCACUCAUGUCGGGACAAGGGAAGCUAGAGUAUUCAUCAAUGGCAGUAAGAAGAUACUUGUUGUGUGAAUUAGAAGGCAAAGGUCCUUUGUGAUCAACACUGAUUCUCUGAAAAGGCUGUGUUGCUUUAAUAAAAUGAGAGGGAGAAUGUUGGUGGAAAGAAGGUUCGAGUUCACGGCAGACAUUACGUUAGAGCUGGUUUAGAUGUAGUCAUGUUCCACUGUAUCAUGAAAUCUUAAAUAAGUAGUGAUGUGUUUGUGUCUCUGGUCUACAGAAAUAAAGACACAUUUCUUUGUUAUGUUAUCAGUUCCUUGAAAUAUCUGUUGUUGAGGCAAAUAAUAACAUAUUUUCGGUCAUUAAAGACUGAUUUGUCUCUUUCUACAAUAUGUCCAAGUCUAACUGGAUUAGCAAUAAAAUACUCAGUCAUUAUAUCACUUAAUUUUGCCAAUUAACCAUAGCUAAUCCACAUUCAUGUGUCAAGUUUUUAGAUGAUGCAAAUCCAUAUGGCUGCAGGCAUUAUUUCUUCAAAUUUCAAUUUCCUGGUCUCAAAGAAUGCAUUCUUUGUCUUAAUUAUUUCUUUGUGACAGUCAUUUCAAUUCUGUCACCAACAUCUAAUCAUUCUCAUGAUGGUUGUAACAAAGUGCCCCUUGGGGUGGUAGGAACUGGUCGUUUGGUGGCAAAAGAGUUAUGCAUAACUUAAGGGAAUUGAGGGUCAGUGUAAAUGAUGAGAGUCUCUGGUUGUCUGCUUUUUGCUUUGUCACCUUUCAUGUUGCUAUAAAGGUCGACAGUUCAUAAAUAUUGUCUUGCCAUUGUAACGAGUCCAUUGAAAGGAUUUUCCAUACCUUGGGUCAUCAGCGUUACUCUUUGUUAGGCAUGGAGCUCAUUUGACAUGUUUCGAGGCUUCUUGAUCCUCAAUCUCAACAGACUUUAUUGACCCAGUGCACAUUCUCUAGCUCCGUUUAGGUAGGUUUUCAAACCCUGCUGCAGACUGUAAAUCGAAUUUCAUCAUUGCUCACAUGGCUCAAGUUGCCACCUGCCACAGCUUAUCUUAUUCCAGUACAGAAUACCAGAAUAUACAGACAUAGUGUUUCUGAGAUUAUCUAUUUUCUCUCAUCUGUAUACCAUAAUCCUGGUAAUAUGUGGUUUACACUACAUCUUGUCCAAUGUAUUGAUGCUGACUUGUGACUGAGCUUCAUCCCUAAACAAUUAAGCUUGGUAUGUCCUGAUAAGUGUUGCUUAGAACCAAGCUUAGAGAACACCCUAAUAUCAUAAUAUUUUAAUUACCACUGUAUAUUUUGCAAACACUCAUUCAAGGCUUCUGCAUUAUCUCCCUAAUAGGUUUGUGACUUGAAUAUAUCUCAAAGUAUAUUGGUGGAACCUCUCCUGUGGCAUAGCAUGUCUAUACAUCCCUCAGAGCCAUGUGGCUGCCCUUUUGCUUUUGUUGAAAUGCUGCUCUGACUCCUCCGUCAGUUGUACUUCAUGAGGGACCGUUUGGGUUGUAAUUGCGUAAAAUAACUGGUUCAACAGUUUACAGCUUGUAAUACAACAUUUAGUUAUUUCCUCCAUGUCCAUUGGUUACCUUUUGUCAUUCUUCCAAGACACUGGUCCUUGAGCUAUUUCAGCUUUUACCACGACAUGUUAGAGUUUCUGUAUCUGUCAAUGCUUUUCCAAUUUAUGACAUUGUUGUCAGCAACACAUCACUCCUACCAAAGCUCACUGUAGUUUUUACUGAAACGUUACUGAUGAUACAUCCAAUUUAAAGAAUAGACAAAGUCAUUUGGAUUGUCUAUAGGACCUUUGUGAUAUAGUAAACUCUGUUACUUGAAUAUGCCAAUACUCUGGGCAUAAUUUUUCAGGGUAAAAUACUCUUGCAUCUUAAGGAUAGGCAUCCUUUAUAAUUGCUACAAAAUAAAAUUCGUAUUUCAGAUCUGAGUUCUGAACUUUGAAGUUCAUCUAUACUCUUAGCUUGCCAUGAGUUCAUUUCUGUAGUUCGGCCUUCAUGUCAGCUUCCAGAAUAAUUGGAACAUGAUGGGCUGAGCUACAUUGUCUGUCUCUAGUUUCUGUAUUCCUGCUAUUGUACUCACACCAUCCUUGAACACUUUUUGUUUAUGCUACUUGGGCUGCAGUUUUCAGCCUGGUUAAAAACCAUAAAUUCACAAUGGUGUGCAACAAUGAGAUCCAUAAUGCAGACUAGAUUGGAAUGGACAAUGUGGAACUACUUGGUGUUGUCGUCCAUUUGUUGGAUCAAUCCUCUUCCCUUUGGCCCUACCAAAUGGUUCCUCUUUUAUCUUGGAUCAUGAUUGAAGUACAGUGGAAGGCAGUUCUGAAGGUGUACUUUCAGGCAAUUGAUUUUGGCCUACAAUACUUAAUUUCUGGUCUGCUUUUAGCUUGCUUGCUUGUCUGCAAUAAUGCUGACUUGUACUUCCUGAGGGACUGUUUGGGUCAUAAUUGUGUAAAAUAACUGGUUCAACAGUUCUUUUCAAAAUUAUUUUAACAGUCUUCAAAAGUUUACAGCUUGUAAUACAACACUUGUUUAUUUUCUCCAUGUCCAUUGGCUACCUGAUGUAAACCCUCUUGCUGUGUUUUCUUCUGGAACCUUUUAACCCAUUGUUUUCUUCAGCAAGUUUUUAUGACUGCCUCAGUGGCUGGUCUAUCAGUGCUAAUAGCUUGUAUCUAGUUUUAAUACAAGCAAUGCCUCAAAAAACUUGGUUGUACCACAGUUAACAGGGGAAAGCACAAGUUUUUUUGCCAGGUCUCCAACUUCACCAUGAAUGUAUAAAAGAUUUUGCUAUAAUUUUGGCUGGCAAUAUCUAACACAAAGUCAUGUUUUUCUUUUCUUUAUAAUUGUGGAGUGUGAUUUGGUAAAUUAUAAUACCAAAUAAUUCCACAGUGGUAGCUAUGGCUGGGUUACUGGUUUCAACCACCUUCACUGCUGACUUUUUUGUUAUAUACAGCAGUACAGUAUGAUAAUUCUUCGUCUGUAGCUUUGACACUGUUGUAAAAGUGUUUCAUUGCUACUCAAAUAUUUUUGGAAGAUUCCUUGUCAUUAUACAUAUUGGUGGACUUGAGAGUGUUAAUUUUGUUCAAGAAUUGUGUGUUAUAACAUUUACUUCAAUAUCUGUGGUAAACGAUUCUCUGCUGGGAGUGUCUUAACAUACAAGUUGAUUCAUAUUGGAAAAGGAUCAUAUUGCUGUGAUAUCUGUGGUAAAUCAUUAUCUGAAAGAAGUAAUUGUAUUACUUUAUCUAUAACGAGAGAGCAACCAUAUUGCUGUGAUAUCUGUGGUAAAUCAUUCUCUUGAAAUAGUGACUUAACAAACAAACAUAAAAGCUAUGUUAUGAACAAGUCACUUCACUAUACGUGUAUAUAUUUAUACAAAAGAGUAACCAUAUCGAUACCAAAGGUCAUUCUUUGCCAAGAAAAUAUCUUGUAUAUCCAUUGAUGUAUUCAUACAGCAAAGUAGAUAUAACAGUGAGCUAACAAACUCUUCAUACCAUUGUGAUCAUUUUGGAAAAGCACUUUAUCAGAAUACUCAUAUUCUCUGUAACAUGUUUCCAGGAGGGAGGAAAUAUACUCUUGAUUUAUUUGAUAAUGGGAUAACCACUAUAGUUAUGUUAAAGGGAGUCCUCAUAUGCCAUAAGAUACACAUGUUAUAUUCUGGUUUAAAUUUCAUGUAUUCCAUUGUCUUUUCUUUGGAAUCUCGUGUUUCCAGCAAAUGCCUGAAGAUCAGUUAUUUCUUCAGAUAAGCCAAUGACAAUUACUUUAUGUGCUCCAGUUUCAGCAGCUUUCUCAGUGCACCUAUAUUCAAGGAUGUUUCAUAUCCCUUCAAAGAAUAUCGAUGCAAUUUGUCUAAUUUCAUCCCUUAUGGCAUGAUUUCCUCGUGACUAAGGGGAAGGUGAAUGGGUGGUGUAGCUUAGGAAUCAUUGCCAUCACCCCCAAGCCCCUCUGCUUCACCCAGCAUUGGCAAAUUCUUUAUUUAUUGGGGGAACUGCUCUUCUGUCACUCACCCAUUAUAUCUUGUCGCUGUUACUGUUGCGCUACUUUUAUCCUCACAGACAUUGACUAAACAGAAUGCAUUUGCAAGAAUGAUAUACCACAUCUCACAGUGAUAAGGAUUUUCUUUUGUAUGAAUACGUUUGUGAGUAGUUAGAUUAUCCUUUUGAGAAAAUGACUUUUUACAGAUUUCAUAAUUGUAUGAUGUAAUCUUUAGGCAUAUUUUUAGAAAAAAAAAAAAAAUCAAGCCUUUUAACUGUGUUUUACAUUGAUCCUCGUUCUGUCAUCCUUUAGGAUUCAACAAAAUAAAGGACCAGUCUAAAAAUGUGGGUUGACAGGGUUGGUGUCAAGCAUAAAUGCAUUGUAGCAUUUAAUUAUGGUUUGAUACUUUAAGUUUAACUCCCGACCGAGGUCAACUUUGCCUUUUGGCCUUCUGGGAUCAAUAAAGUCAAUGUAAUUGACUGAUCCUUUCCCUGAAAUUUCUGACCCUGCGUCUAAUUUUGAAAGACUGAUUAAAAAUUAUGUUUUAUUGAAUAAUAAAAAUAUGUUUUUGAAAUAA